GACGAACGCUGGCGGCGUGCUUAACACAUGCAAGUCGAACGGAAAGGCCCUGCUUGCAGGGUGCUCGAGUGGCGAACGGGUGAGUAACACGUGGGUGAUCUGCCCCUUACUUUGGGAUAAGCCUGGGAAACUGGGUCUAAUACUGGAUAGGACCAUGCUGUAGGUGGUGUGGUGGAAAGAUUAGUUUCGGUAAGGGAUGAGCUCGCGGCCUAUCAGCUUGUUGGUGGGGUAAUGGCCUACCAAGGCGUCGACGGGUAGCCGGCCUGAGAGGGUGGACGGCCACAUUGGGACUGAGAUACGGCCCAGACUCCUACGGGAGGCAGCAGUGGGGAAUAUUGCACAAUGGGCGCGAGCCUGAUGCAGCGACGCCGCGUGGGGGAUGACGGCCUUCGGGUUGUAAACUCCUUUCAGCCAUGACGAAGCCCAUGUGGUGACGGUAGUGGUAGAAGAAGCACCGGCUAACUACGU
RNAcentral lists this ribosomal RNA (468 nucleotides) under uncultured bacterium. Its description in RNAcentral is "partial 16S ribosomal RNA". It matches the Rfam family "Bacterial small subunit ribosomal RNA", at positions 28 to 506 of the family's 1533-position model. The record is from RNAcentral.